Molecule: ribosomal RNA, 503 nt
Filed under: uncultured bacterium
Lineage: Bacteria
Description: partial 16S ribosomal RNA
Rfam family: Bacterial small subunit ribosomal RNA
Source: RNAcentral
AUUGAACGCUGGCGGCAGGCUUAACACAUGCAAGUCGAGCGGGGUGAUGGUGCUUGCACUAUCACUUAGCGGCGGACGGGUGAGUAAUGCUUAGGAAUCUGCCUAUUAGUGGGGGACAACAUCUCGAAAGGGAUGCUAAUACCGCAUACGUCCUACGGGAGAAAGCAGGGGAUCACUUGUGACCUUGCGCUAAUAGAUGAGCCUAAGUCGGAUUAGCUAGUUGGGGGGGUAAAGGCCUACCAAGGCGACGAUCUGUAGCGGGUCUGAGAGGAUGAUCCGCCACACUGGGACUGAGACACGGACCAGACUCCGACGGGAGGCAGCAGUGGGGAAGAUUGGACAAUGGGGGGAACCCUGAUCCAGCCAUGCCGCGUGUGUGAAGAAGGCCUUAUGGUUGUAAAGCACUUUAAGCGAGGAGGAGGCUCUUUUGGUUAAUACCCAAGAUGAGUGGACGUUACUCGCAGAAUAAGCACCGGCUAACUCUGUGCCAGCCGCCGCCGUAA